Molecule: non-coding RNA, 960 nt
Organism: Ailuropoda melanoleuca (giant panda)
Lineage: Eukaryota; Metazoa; Chordata; Mammalia; Carnivora; Ursidae
Source: the annotation of a RefSeq genome assembly
UACUCUGUUAGAGGAAGGGGUCGGCCUGACAAGAGCAGGAGCUGAGCUGGCUGGAGGCUGCAGUUGUGAAGCUGGUCUAACGGGGAGGAGCCAUGAGGACAUCCAGGGGAGCUUUAGUCGUGUUCUCGUGGCUGCAGCUGAGCUGGUUCAGCCAAGGAGAGAUGGUGGAGCAGCGGCCUUCGACCCUGAGUGUGCGACAGGGACGCAGCUCUGUCAUCAACUGCAGCUAUUCAGACAGUGCCUCAGUCUACUUCCCUUGGUAUAAGCAAGAGCUUGGAAAAGGUCCCCAGCUCCUUAUAGACAUUCGUUCCACCACGGCCACAAAAGAAGACCAAAGGCUCACUGUCUCACUGAGCAGGACGGCCAGACAUCUGUCCCUGCACAUCGCAGACACGCAGCCUGAAGACUCAGCUGUGUACUUCUGCGCAGCAAGCACACACUGCUCCCCAGACACCUGCUGCCUGCACUCAAACCUGCCAGUGGGGCAGCCCCUGGCCUUUGACACAGACCUUCCAGGAGCGCGUUUGUCCUUUGUUGGUCUGCAAGUGGAAGAUUUUAUUAUUUUCUUGGAAGAGAGGGAGUGAGCACAAGCAGGGGAAGCAACAGAGGGAGGAGGAGUAGCAGGGUCCCCGCCAAACAGGGAGACUGACGUGCUGUUCAUCCCAGGCCCCUGGGAUCAUGACCUGAGGUGAAGGCAGAUGCUUAACCGACUGAGCCACCCAGAGCCCCCAAGUCUUGGUUUUGGUUGAAGUUAUGAUCUCAGGGUCAUGAGAUCAAGUCCUGAAUCAGGCUGCAAUCACAGCGAGGAAUCCUUUCCCUCUCCCUCUCCCAUUGCCCCUCCCCUCGCUUUCUCCUCUCCUUCUCUAAUAAAUAAAUAAAUCUUAAAAAGAAAAAGAAUCUGAGAUCAUUCUGUGGGAUUCAACUUCAUUCAUGAUGUUUCUUCUGUCUAGAAUUCAUAUA